AUGUGUGAGGGAAGUUUGGAUACGAUUCAGACGGGCCUCCCUACUCAGCACGGACAGGGGGAAAAAAAACCUGCCAGUGCAGCUUUCUGCCAACAGCAGCUCCUAAACGUGCCAGCGCCGCUCCGGCUUUAUCAAAAGCAGCAGCAGAAACUGCAGAGCAGCAGAGGGCGUCCGGCCAGACACCGUCGGGCCACAACGGAGGUGAAGAGCGGCCACAACAAAACCAUUUUACCCCUGCCCUCAUGCAGAACAUCCGAGAAAUUCUUGGCACACUCAGUGGUAUUCCUGUGCGGCCAGUUUCAUCACGGUCACAUGAUGAAUGAGACGGCAUCAUUUACAUAAUCAACUGCUCGAGCUGGAGACACAGGAACGAAAGGAAACCUGCUUGAACUCUGGACCGCCAUCUGAACUCAGGAAACAUCUUUUGUUAUUCUUUGGGGGUAAUGAAGCCAUAUUUAGUGAACUAUGUAAAGGCACUAUGAUGUCUGGUGGAAGAAAAGUUCGCU
RNAcentral lists this long non-coding RNA (506 nucleotides) under Scophthalmus maximus (turbot). RNAcentral describes it as "lncRNA (ENSSMAG00000034897.1)". Lineage: Eukaryota; Metazoa; Chordata; Actinopteri; Pleuronectiformes; Scophthalmidae. The record is from RNAcentral.